CUGUGCUUCGAGUCACUGUGUUACAUGCCGGGAUUAUUGCAAAAAGUGAAAGAAGAGGAUCUAAUUGUAGCUCAGAUUCCAAAAGGAAGUUCAUUAUAAGGAAGUAAAAAGACAGCGGCUUCCCCACAGCGUGGGGAGAACCCUGGGGGAUGCCAAGGAGAGGGCGGCCGGCCUCAGAGAGGAAUGGCAAGAGUCGUGUAGAUGAGUGGUUCCAAGCCUUGGACAUGGGUCGGUUCACCUAGAGGGCUUGUCAAACGCAGACUGCUUAGCCUUAUUGCCGGAGUUUCUGAUCCAAGAGUCGGAGGUGGGGCCAGAGAAUCUGCAUUUCCAACCAAUGUCCAAGUGGUGCUGAUGCUCUUGGUCUGGGGCCACGCUUGGAGAACCACUGUUCUAUAGAAAUUGAUGGUAAAAAUAGGAAGAUUAAGAACUCUGGAAAAUGCAUAAGGUCAGCACAGUAAUCUGAGCCAAGUUCCAACAUCACAUAGAGAAGCUCAGAGAACUCCCAGAGGAGAUGGUUCAGACCAGAGGGGAGAGAGGCUGUCUCUUGCCCACACCUCUUAAGCCUCAUUAGAAAGUCCCUUAAUGAAAAGGCAUCAGAGAUGGACGCCUGAAUCUGUCACCAUCCUGUGGCUUAUUUUCCCUCUGUGCUUUCAUUGACGGAAUGUCUGUUUUGCUCUUGCAGUGUGAGAAAUACGAAAAGGGCUCCAAUGGAUCUUCUCACCCAGGGCAGCCAGGCCUGGGCUGCCCCCUUCCCUCCGGGUCAGUGAUGGGUUAGCAUUUCAGGGCCAAUAUAAGUUGCCGGGCACCUGGAAGACAACCGCACUGCCAAGAUUCUGUUUAAGAGUCCAGGCCCACUGCGGAAGUUUGGUGGAGAGGGACACAAGAGGGUUCUGUGUGGACUGAAUUGUGUCCCCCAAAAAUCAUCUGUUGAACCCCUAACCCCCAAUGUGACUGUACUUGGACACAAGGCCUUUUUAGGGGUAAUUACGGUUAAAGGAAGUCGUCAGGGCCGAGCCCUAAUCCAAUGGGAUGAGUGUCCUUCUAAGAAGAGGAAGAGACAUUGAGUGCCCACACCAACAAAAGGCCAUGUGAGGUCACAGUGAGAAGGUGACCGUCUGCAAGCCAAGGAGAGACCUCAGGAGCAAUCAUAUCUGCCAGUACUUUCAUCUUGGACUUCAGCCUCCAGACCUGUGAGAAAAUAAAUUUCUGCCGUGGAAGCCCCACCGUCUGUGGUUGUUUGUUGUGGCAGCCUGAGCAAGUAAUACAGGGUGCAACCAAGGUGAGAAGAUAUAAAACUGUACUGAAACCCUGCUUCUCUGGAACACCUUCUAAGGCCUUCCUGGGUUAUAAUCCUCACUCUGGCUCAUAAGAAGCUCACCCCAAUUCUGCAUCAACAUUCCACAUGUGAAAGCCAGCCGCGUGGAAAAGCAGAACACUGGGCCCUCCUCAGAGAAGAGAAUCUCAGCCCAUCAGCUGUGCAAUUCUCCUCAAAAUCCAGGCUGAGGAAAAACCAUCUUAAGAAAGAUCAUUGAAAGCAGCAUUUCCCAAACAGUGUUCCAGAG
Molecule: long non-coding RNA, 1562 nt
Organism: Equus asinus (donkey)
Lineage: Eukaryota; Metazoa; Chordata; Mammalia; Perissodactyla; Equidae
Source: Ensembl